UAUCAUAGCGGAGGAAAAGAAACUAACAAGGAUUCCCCUAGUAACUGCGAGUGAAGCGGGAGAAGCUCAAAUUUGAAAUCUGGCGGUUUUUCUUUUACUGUCCGAGUUGUAAUCUAGAGAAGUGUUACCUGUGCUGGACCGUGUACAAGUCUCCUGGAAUGGAGCAUCAUAGAGGGUGAGAAUCCCGUCUUUGACACGGACUACCUGUACGCUGUGGUGCGCUCUCAAAGAGUCGAGUUGUUUGGGAAUGCAGCUCAAAACGGGUGGUAAAUGCCAUCUAAAGCUAAAUAUUGGCGAGAGACCGAUAGCGAACAAGUACCGUGAGGGAAAGAUGAAAAGAACUUUGGAAAGAGAGUUAAACAGUACGUGAAAUUGCUGAAAGGGAAACGCUUGAAGUCAGUCGCGUUGGCUAGAAAUCAGCCUUGCUUUUGCUUGGUGUACUUUCUGGUUUUCAACGGGUCAGCAUCAAUUUUGACCAUUGGAUAAAGUCUUUGGGAAUGUGGCAUCUUUGGAUGUGUUAUAGCCCAUCGUCGCAUGCAGUGGUUGGGAUUGAGGAACUCAGCACGCCGCAAAGGCCAGGUUUCGACCAUGUUUACGUGCUUAGGAUGCUGGCAUAAUGGCUUUAAUCGACCCGUCUUGAAACACGGACCAAGGAGUCUAACAUGCCUGCGAGUGUUUGGGUGGAAAACCCAUGCGCGAAAUGAAAGUGAAAGUUGAGAUCCCCUGUAAAAAGGGGGAGCAUUGACGCCCGGACCAGACCUUUUGUGACGGAUCUGCGGUAGAGCAUGUAUGUUGGGACCCGAAAGAUGGUGAACUAUGCCUGAAUAGGGUGAAGCCAGAGGAAACUCUGGUGGAGGCUCGUAGCGAUUCUGACGUGCAAAUCGAUCGUCAAAUUUGGGUAUAGGGGCGAAAGACUAAUCGAACCAUCUAGUAGCUGGUCCUGCACUCC
RNAcentral lists this ribosomal RNA (949 nucleotides) under Inocybe sp. RNAcentral describes it as "partial large subunit ribosomal RNA". It matches the Rfam family "Eukaryotic large subunit ribosomal RNA", at positions 41 to 971 of the family's 3401-position model. The record is from RNAcentral. Lineage: Eukaryota; Fungi; Basidiomycota; Agaricomycetes; Agaricales; Inocybaceae.